AUGGCAUUUGUCUGCUGCAGCAACACCAUUUUAGCACCAGCGACAACAAGUUCUCACCACGGGUGGAUGGAUAAAUUUCCUACCAUACUACGUCACAAAAAGGAGAUCAACAGAGAAAGACCCCUGCAGGUUGAGCAACCAACAGUGAGAUCCAGUGCCGUCACAUCAGGGGGAAUCAACACAUUUAGAGGGCAGAGCAUGAAGGCGCACUUUCUCCUUCCCAUGUCUAUCUCCAUCCCUUUGCCUCCCUCUCUUCCUCCCAGCUCUCACCGGCAACAACACAACGACGAUGGAUCUCGGGGUAGGGAUUGGAGUAGAAGGCUAAUGAAUCCGCUAGCCGGGGUUGACGAGGGCUGGCCGCAUUACCUGGGUCAGAGGAGGGAGGCGAAGAAGACGGCGAGGAAGAAAAGGGAGCCGCAACAGCGUCUGCAACAAGCCACCGCCUCCGCUCCUCACGGUCUCACCCAACUCCUCCGGUGA
RNAcentral lists this ribosomal RNA (480 nucleotides) under Triticum aestivum (bread wheat). RNAcentral describes it as "partial small subunit ribosomal RNA". The record is from RNAcentral. Lineage: Eukaryota; Viridiplantae; Streptophyta; Magnoliopsida; Poales; Poaceae.